CGGGUGGCCUCCUCUGUUGUUCCCUGUUCGAUCUGGCGCUUGCAAGGUAUUUUGAAGAACUCUUUUAAUGGGGCAUGGUAUGAUGUGCUAUGGAAGUAAAGGAUUUUGUUUGAGGCCUCCCCUUAUAUCUAGGGGAAAUAAAUCAUUGUUAUGCAUUAUUCUUAGUGGCCAUGCCUCUGCAAAUCAACUUAUUCUAGAUGCUGGUGUCGUGAUGGUGGUUCACCCCUUACAUGUUGGAUAAUUCUAUAUUUUCUAGAGAGAGAGAGAGAGAGAGGAUCACGAUCUUGCUUGUGUCCUGUAAUCAGAUUUAAAUGACACUCUAUUUAUAGUAGAUAGGCACAUGCUUAUUGUUGUCUUGCUAGACGUGCGUGGCAGAUGCCAGUGUGUUUAUCUGUACAUAUAGCGGCCUCUUCGAUUUUUUCUUCCUCUAGGAGAUGAUGCUAAAAAUGAUCACAUUUAUGAAGUUAUGCUCUGCUUUGGCUCAUGUUUUUAUCUUAAUCCAAGUAAUUGGUUCUCUCUUUUGUCGACGAGGUCCAUCAUGGUGGCGCUCUAGACGAGGCGUGCUGAACCUGGACCGGCCUCUUCUCGGCAAGCACGGAUCGCAGGGUCGUCUUCCUCUCUGGCCUCUUCCACACCGUCAUGGAUGACGCGUACUAGGUUGAUCUUCUGAUUUCAUUUUGCUCAGAUAUGGGCUUGGGCUCGGUCAUUUUAGUUGGUCAUGAUGAUGGCGGCUUGCUGGCCCUGAGGACUGUAGAAAAGUUACGCGCUUCUGGAGAUUCUAGGAAGCUUCCGACCGUCAUUACAACUGUCAGAAGGAAGGCUUCUAUCAUCUACUUAGAACCAAGUAUUUCAAUCAUGUGGCCUUCAGCUUUGCUUACACUCGUGUAACAUAUGAAUUCAACCUUGAUCAUACUGCUCCUUAUAAACCAGUGGAUCACUUUUUGCUAUGCCCUCCUGUUAAAUGUUGUCAUUGUACUGUGCUCUCCUUAUCAAAUGUCAGUUUUGUUCCUUGCUUCCAUCUGCCCAUCAUUUUCACACGUAAUGUAUGGCAAACCAUGCCCUCCUAUCCCCUUUUUUUAAUGAAUGUUGUGAUCAUGCAAAAUAUGUAUCCUCUCUACAUUCUCUUCUCCGUUAUGAUCAUACAAAAGAGCUAUCAUGUCUGCCAAUGGCAGAUAUGUUGGUUUCUAUGUAUAAAUUUAGCUGUCUCUUCAUUCACCAUCUGAUUUAAAAUUAUGUAUUCACAGAGAUACUUAAUACGAAAAUUAAUAGUUUUUUUUCAAACGAUUAGCAUUUUUUGUUGCCCGCCGUCUGGCGGGCAACGCGCGGCAAGCCGCGCCCCCUAUCUAGUUCAUCCAGAGAAGAAGAGUGCAGGGAACAGUGUGAGAUCGACAGCAGCGCGCGCGAUGGGGAAGAACGGCAGCCACCUGUGCUGCUUCUCUCUGCUGCUGCUGCUCGCCGGGUUUGCGUCCGGCCAUCAAGUCCUC
Molecule: long non-coding RNA, 1484 nt
Organism: Triticum aestivum (bread wheat)
Lineage: Eukaryota; Viridiplantae; Streptophyta; Magnoliopsida; Poales; Poaceae
Exons: 3
Source: RefSeq, a predicted model, not a curated record